AGACUUAUUCUUAUCUUGGGUAGAGUGAGCGCCGACUCUAAAGACUAGCAGGCAAACUGUUCUAUAAAAUCACUGAACCAACAUUGGUCCCCUUUGCCUGCUAUUGAUUGUAAUAACUUUUGAUGAAGUUAUCUCACGGAAGAAAAUGCUGUCUUGGCUCUUCAUAUUUUGUGUAGUUCAUGAACGCUUUUUUGCCUUGUGAAUUAAAUACUCUACUGCCCGUCCUUUCUUUUCUUUUUUUCUUUUUUUUUUGUUAUUGUUGUAUAAUUUAGUCCCAUAUAUGGGAGACGACCCAUUUAGCCGCCCUCAAGUUACAACAAAUCGUAACUGAAAUAUAUGUUGAAGAAGUAUGCGUCUUGAAAGAACGGGGAUCCGUUUCUCUCUCAAUAUGCAAGGGGAUUGGUUUGAAGUAUUCAAAUGUGUAUGAGUUUCAAACUCGUGUUGUAGGAUGGCUAGGAUCAUGUAGACAUCCGAGGAUUGUCAUCUUCUUUAAUCCUGUCUCCACCCACCUUGCCACCGUUUCGCAUUUACUGAUGCACAAGCUAAAGAAGGAAGUAGAGUCGUAGCCAAAGGAGAAAGGAGCUCUGGAGACUCGAGCAACUGAGGCUGAGAACAAGAUGCUUGAAUUGAACUCGAAACUAGAAAAAAAUGAGUCUUCUUUUUUUUCCCCCUUUUCUUUCUGUAUUGAUGAAUUCACGUUACAGUUAUAUAUACACAUAUAUAAAAAUUGGGAUACCUGUCUUGUU
This is a non-coding RNA of Punica granatum (pomegranate), 746 nucleotides long. Lineage: Eukaryota; Viridiplantae; Streptophyta; Magnoliopsida; Myrtales; Lythraceae. The record is from RefSeq and is a predicted model, not a curated record.